AGUGAACGCUGGCGGUAGGCCUAACACAUGCAAGUCGAACGGCAGCACAGUAAGAGCGUGCCCUUACGGGUGGCGAGUGGCGGGCGGGUGAGGAAUACAUCGGGACCUACUUUUUCGGGGGACAUAACGAAGGGGAGCUUACGAUAAUACCGCAUACGCCCCACGGGGGAAAGCAGGGGAACGUCGGGCCGUGCGGGGUUGGAUGCGCCGAUGUCGGGUUAGCUAGUUGGCGGGGUAAAGGCCCAGCAAGGCGAGGAUCCGUGGCUCGACUGAGAGGAUGAUCGCCCACAUUGGAACUGGGACACGGUCCAGACUCCUACGGGAGGGAGCAGUCGGGUAUGUUGGGCAGUGGGGGCAAACCUGGUCCAGCCAUCCCGAGUGGGUUACGGAGGCCUUCGGGUUGUAAAGACGUUUUGUUGGGAAAGAACAGCUGCAGGUUGAUACCCAGCUGUUCUGACGGUACCGAAAGAAUAAGCACCGGCUAACUUCGUG
Molecule: ribosomal RNA, 492 nt
Filed under: uncultured bacterium
Lineage: Bacteria
Description: partial 16S ribosomal RNA
Rfam family: Bacterial small subunit ribosomal RNA
Source: RNAcentral